AGAGUUUGAUCAUGGCUCAAGUGAACGCUGGCGGCGUGGAUUAGGCAUGCAAGUCGAACGAUACCGCAAGGUAUAGUGGCAAAAGGGCGAGUAACACGUGAGUAAUCUGCCUUCGAGUGGGGAACAACCUUGGGAAACCGAGGCUAAAACCGCAUAAGACCACGGCCUGGCAUCAGGCUGUGAUCAAAUGGGGGGACCGUAAGGCCUCUAGCUUGAAGAUGGGCUCGCGUCCUAUCAGCUUGUUGGCGGGGUAAUGGCCCACCAAGGCUUUUGACGGGUAGCUGGACUGAGAGGUUGGUCAGCCGCAUUGGGACUGAGACACUGCCCAGACUCCUACGGGAGGCUGCAGUCGAGGAUAUUUAGCAAUGCCCGAAAGGGUGACUAUGCGACGCCGCGUGCGCGAUGAAGGUCUUCGGAUUGUAAAGCGCUGUCAGCCGGGAGGAAUCUCGGGGGCUUUAACAAAGCCGCCGGGCGACAGUACCGGCAGAGGAAGCCACGGCUAACUCCGUGCCAGCAGCCGCGGUAAUA
RNAcentral lists this ribosomal RNA (528 nucleotides) under uncultured bacterium. RNAcentral's name for it is "bacterial SSU rRNA". It matches the Rfam family "Bacterial small subunit ribosomal RNA", at positions 8 to 525 of the family's 1533-position model. The record is from RNAcentral.